GAUGAACGCUGGCGGCGUGCCUAAUACAUGCAAGUCGAGCGAACGGACGAGAAGCUUGCUUCUCUGAUGUUAACGGCGGACGGGUGAGUAACACGUGGAUAACCUACCUAUAAGACUGGGAUAACUUCGGGAAACCGGAGCUAAUACCGGAUAAUCUUUUGAACCGCAUGGUUCAAAAGUGACAGACGGUCUUGCUGUCACUUAUAGAUGGAUCCGCGCUGCAUUAGCUAGUUGGUAAGGUAACGGCUUACCAAGGCAACGAUGCAUAGCCGACCUGAGAGGGUGAUCGGCCACACUAGAACUGAGCCACGGUCCAGACUCAUACGGGAGGCAGCAGUAGGGAAUCUUCCGCAAUGGGCGAAAGCCUGACGGAGCAACGCCGCGUGGGUGAUGAAGGUCUUCGGAUCGUAAAGCUCUGUUAUUAGGGAAGAACAUAUGUGUAAGUAACUGUGCACAUCUUGACGGUACCUAAUCAGAAAGCCACGGCGAACUACGUG
RNAcentral lists this ribosomal RNA (497 nucleotides) under uncultured bacterium. RNAcentral describes it as "partial 16S ribosomal RNA". It matches the Rfam family "Bacterial small subunit ribosomal RNA", at positions 28 to 507 of the family's 1533-position model. The record is from RNAcentral.